This 65-nucleotide transfer RNA is filed under the name Cyrtodactylus philippinicus. RNAcentral describes it as "tRNA-Ala". Lineage: Eukaryota; Metazoa; Chordata; Lepidosauria; Squamata; Gekkonidae. The record is from RNAcentral.
GAGGUCUUGGCUUAAAUUAAAGUAUCUGAGUUGCAGUCAGAAGAUGUGUUUGGAACACAGGCCUU